Molecule: ribosomal RNA, 253 nt
Filed under: uncultured bacterium
Lineage: Bacteria
Description: partial 16S ribosomal RNA
Rfam family: Bacterial small subunit ribosomal RNA
Source: RNAcentral
UACGAAGGGGGCGAGCGUUAUUCGGAAUCACUGGGCGUAAAGCGUGCGUAGGCUGUUUGGCAAGUUGGAAGUGAAAGCCCAGGGCUCAACCCUGGAAUUGCUUUCAAAACUGCCAGACUCGAAUCCGGGAGAGGAUAGCGGAAUUUCCAGUGUAGUAGUGAAAUACGUAGAUAUUGGAAGGAACACCAGUGGCGUAAGCGGCUAUCUGGACCGGCAUUGACGCUGAGGCACGAAAGCGUGGGGAUCAAACAGG